This 127-nucleotide small RNA is filed under the name Marmota monax (woodchuck). The record is from RNAcentral. Lineage: Eukaryota; Metazoa; Chordata; Mammalia; Rodentia; Sciuridae.
GCCAGGUGCGGUGGCCCACGCCUGUAAUCCCAGAGGCAUGGGAGGCUGAGGUAGGAGGAUCGUGAGUUCAAAGCCAGCCUCAGCAACUUAGCAAGGCCCUAAUCAACUCAGUGAGACCCUGUCUCCA